This is a long non-coding RNA of Oncorhynchus keta (chum salmon), 3806 nucleotides long. RefSeq lists it as uncharacterized. The record is from RefSeq and is a predicted model, not a curated record. The transcript has 17 exons. NCBI's taxonomy places the organism in Eukaryota, Metazoa, Chordata, Actinopteri, Salmoniformes, Salmonidae.
CUGCAGUCCCUUCCUCCCCCUGCAGUCCCUUCCUCCCCCUGCAGUCCCUUCCUCCCCCUGCAGUCCCUUCCUCCCCCCCAGUCCCUUCCUCCCGCGGCUAUAAGGCCUUUUGUUGGGGAUCCAGAAUCUAGCCCAGCUAAACAUUUCAAAGCAACACUUGUAUUUUUGUCUUUUUUUUAAACUCUCUCAACGUUUUACAUGUUGUGGACAAUGUUGUGGACAAAAAUCCACAGUCCUUUACUGCUCAACCGGAAUAAAACAUGUUUAAAUGACCAGGGUUUCAUUUCAUCUUAGGUCAUUUGAUGUAUUUAGGGAUAUUGUACUGUAUAAAAUGUUACCAAUGACUGAGGUCAGGAGAGAUACUGUGUCGGCUCAUAUAAAAUGUUACCAAUGACUGAGGUCAGGAGAGAUACUGUGUCAGCUCAUAUAAAAUGUUACCAAUGACUGAGGUCAGGAGAGAUACUGUGUCAGCUCAUAUAAAAUGUUACCAAUGACUGAGGUCAGGAGAGAUACUGUGUCAGCUCAUAUAAAAUGUUACCAAUGACUGAGGUCAGGAGAGAUACUGUGUCAGCUCAUAUAAAAUGUUACCAUUGACAGGUCAGGAGAGAUACUGUGUCAGCUCAUAUAAAAUGUUACCAAUGACUGAGGUCAGGAGAGAUACUGUGUCAGCUCAUAUAAAAUGUUACCAAUGACUGAGGUCAGGAGAGAUACUGUGUCGGCUCAUAUAAAAUGUUACCAAUGACUGAGGUCAGGAGAGAUACUGUGUCAGCUCAUAUAAAAUGUUACCAAUGACAGGUCAGGAGAGAUACUGUGUCAGCUCAUAUUAAAUGUUACCAAUGACAGGUCAGGAGAGAUACUGUGUCGGCUCAUAUAAAAUGUUACCAAUGACUGAGGUCAGGAGAGAUACUGUGUCAGCUCAUAUAAAAUGUUACCAAUGACUGAGGUCAGGAGAGAUACUGUGUCGGCUCAUAUAAAAUGUUACCAAUGACUGAGGUCAGGAGAGAUACUGUGUCUGCUCAUAUAAAAUGUUACCAAUGACUGAGAUCAGGAGAGAUACUGUGUCAGCUCAUAUAAAAUGUUACCAAUGACUGAGGUCAGGAGAGAUACUGUGUCAGCUCAUAUAAAAUGUUACCAAUGACUGAGGUCAGGAGAGAUACUGUGUCAGCUCAUAUAAAAUGUUACCAAUGACUGAGGUCAGGAGAGAUACUGUGUCAGCUCAUAUAAAAUGUUACCAAUGACAGGUCAGGAGAGAUACUGUGUCAGCUCAUAUAAAAUGUUACCAAUGACUGAGGUCAGGAGAGAUACUGUGUCGGCUCAUAUAAAAUGUUACCAAUGACUGAGGUCAGGAGAGAUACUGUGUCAGCUCAUAUAAAAUGUUACCAAUGACUGAGGUCAGGAGAGAUACUGUGUCGGCUCAUAUAAAAUGUUACCAAUGACUGAGGUCAGGAGAGAUACUGUGUCAGCUCAUAUAAAAUGUUACCAAUGACUGAGGUCAGGAGAGAUACUGUGUCGGCUCAUAUAAAAUGUUACCAAUGACUGAGGUCAGGAGAGAUACUGUGUCAGCUCAUAUAAAAUGUUACCAAUGACUGAGGUCAGGAGAGAUACUGUGUCAGCUCAUAUAAAAUGUUACCAAUGACUGAGGUCAGGAGAGAGAUACUGUGUCAGCUCAUAUAAAAUGUUACCAAUGACUGAGGUCAGGAGAGAUACUGUGUCGGCUCAUAUAAAAUGUUACCAAUGACUGAGGUCAGGAGAGAUACUGUGUCGGCUCAUAUAAAAUGUUACCAAUGACUGAGGUCAGGAGAGAUACUGUGUCAGCUCAUAUAAAAUGUUACCAAUGACAGGUCAGGAGAGAUACUGUGUCAGCUCAUAUAAAAUGUUACCAAUGACUGAGGUCAGGAGAGAUACUGUGUCAGCUCAUAUAAAAUGUUACCAAUGACAGGUCAGGAGAGAUACUGUGUCAGCUCAUAUAAAAUGUUACCAAUGACUGAGGUCAGGAGAGAUACUGUGUCGGCUCAUAUAAAAUGUUACCAAUGACUGAGGUCAGGAGAGAUACUGUGUCAGCUCAUAUAAAAUGUUACCAAUGACUGAGAUCAGGAGAGAUACUGUGUCAGCUCAUAUAAAAUGUUACCAAUGACUGAGGUCAGGAGAGAUACUGUGUCGGCUCAUAUAAAAUGUUACCAAUGACAGGUCAGGAGAGAUACUGUGUCAGCUCAUAUAAAAUGUUACCAAUGACUGAGGUCAGGAGAGAUACUGUGUCAGCUCAUAUAAAAUGUUACCAAUGACAGGUCAGGAGAGAUACUGUGUCAGCUCAUAUAAAAUGUUACCAAUGACUGAGGUCAGGAGAGAUACUGUGUCGGCUCAUAUAAAAUGUUACCAAUGACUGAGGUCAGGAGAGAUACUGUGUCAGCUCAUAUAAAAUGUUACCAAUGACUGAGGUCAGGAGAGAUACUGUGUCAGCUCAUAUAAAAUGUUACCAAUGACUGAGGUCAGGAGAGAUACUGUGUCAGCUCAUAUAAAAUGUUACCAAUGACAGGUCAGGAGAGAUACUGUGUCAGCUCAUAUAAAAUGUUACCAAUGACUGAGGUCAGGAGAGAUACUGUGUCGGCUCAUAUAAAAUGUUACCAAUGACUGAGGUCAGGAGAGAUACUGUGUCAGCUCAUAUAAAAUGUUACCAAUGACUGAGAUCAGGAGAGAUACUGUGUCAGCUCAUAUAAAAUGUUACCAAUGACUGAGGUCAGGAGAGAUACUGUGUCGGCUCAUAUAAAAUGUUACCAAUGACUGAGGUCAGGAGAGAUACUGUGUCAGCUCAUAUAAAAUGUUACCAAUGACUGAGGUCAGGAGAGAUACUGUGUCGGCUCAUAUAAAAUGUUACCAAUGACUGAGGUCAGGAGAGAUACUGUGUCAGCUCAUAUAAAAUGUUACCAAUGACAGGUCAGGAGAGAUACUGUGUCAGCUCAUAUAAAAUGUUACCAAUGACUGAGGUCAGGAGAGAUACUGUGUCGGCUCAUAUAAAAUGUUACCAAUGACUGAGGUCAGGAGAGAUACUGUGUCAGCUCAUAUAAAAUGUUACCAAUGACUGAGGUCAGGAGAGAUACUGUGUCAGCUCAUAUAAAAUGUUACCAAUGACUGAGAUCAGGAGAGAUACUGUGUCAGCUCAUAUAAAAUGUUACCAAUGACUGAGGUCAGGAGAGAUACUGUGUCGGCUCAUAUAAAAUGUUACCAAUGACUGAGGUCAGGAGAGAUACUGUGUCAGCUCAUAUAAAAUGUUACCAAUGACUGAGGUCAGGAGAGAUACUGUGUCAGCUCAUAUAAAAUGUUACCAAUGACUGAGGUCAGGAGAGAGAUACUGUGUCAGCUCAUAUAAAAUGUUACCAAUGACUGAGGUCAGGAGAGAUACUGUGUCGGCUCAUAUAAAAUGUUACCAAUGACUGAGGUCAGGAGAGAUACUGUGUCGGCUCAUAUAAAAUGUUACCAAUGACUGAGGUCAGGAGAGAUACUGUGUCAGCUCAUAUAAAAUGUUACCAAUGAUGUUACCUAGACAUCUCCCAGACACCUCCUCCCAGACAUCUCCUCCUAGACAUCUCCUCCCAGACAUCUCCUCCCAGACAUCUCCUCCUAGACAUCUCCUCCUAGACAUCUCCUCCCAGACAUCUGCUCCCAGACACCUCCUCCCAGACAUCUCCUCCUAGACAUCUCCUCCCAGACAUCUCCUCCCAGACAUCUCCUCCUAGACAUCUCCUCCUAGACAUCUCCUCCCAGACACCUCCUCCCAGACAUCUCCUCCUAGACAUCUCCUCCCCUAGACA